UACGUAGGGGGCAAGCGUUGUCCGGAUUUAUUGGGCGUAAAGAGCGUGUAGGCGGCUGGGUAGGUCCGUUGUGAAAACUCGAGGCUCAACCUCGAGACGCCGAUGGAAACCCUCCAGCUAGAGUCCGGAAGAGGAAAGUGGAAUUCCACGUGUAGCGGUGAAAUGCGUAGAGAUGUGGAGGAACACCAGUGGCGAAGGCGACUUUCUGGUCUGUAACUGACACUGAGGCGCGAAAGCGUGGGGAGCAAACAGG
This 253-nucleotide ribosomal RNA is filed under the name uncultured bacterium. RNAcentral describes it as "partial 16S ribosomal RNA". It matches the Rfam family "Bacterial small subunit ribosomal RNA", at positions 524 to 776 of the family's 1533-position model. The record is from RNAcentral.